RNAcentral lists this ribosomal RNA (301 nucleotides) under uncultured bacterium. RNAcentral describes it as "partial 16S ribosomal RNA". It matches the Rfam family "Bacterial small subunit ribosomal RNA", at positions 509 to 807 of the family's 1533-position model. The record is from RNAcentral.
CAGUAGCCACGGGAAUACGAAGGGUGCAAGCGUUACUCGGAAUUACUGGGCGUAAAGCGUGCGUAGGUGGUGGUUUAAGUCCGUUGUGAAAGCCCUGGGCUCAACCUGGGAAUUGCAGUGGAUACUGGGUCACUAGAGUGUGGUAGAGGAUAGUGGAAUUUCCGGUGUAGCGGUGAAAUGCGUAGAGAUCGGGAGGAACAUCAGUGGCGAAGGCGGCCAUCUGGGACAACACUGACGCUGAGGCACGAAAGCGUGGGUAGCAAACAGGAUUAGAUACCCCGGUAGUCCCUGUCUCUUAUAC